UAGGCUAGACCGUCUAGUCUUGGAGGCUUGGCUUUCAUCGUGUGGUGAGCUUGGGCCCUCCUCCAUCAUCCCCUCCCUCUUGAAAAGGAUUUGUCCUCAAAUCCAAAGCUUUUGCUUUUGAGGGGGCUUGUUGUGGCUGGAUGGUGUCCAUCAUCUCCUCCUUCGGGAAAAGAUCUAUCCUCAGAUUUGCUAACUUGAUCUCGGAUAGCAGCCUCUUGCUUCGUCAAAGGUGUGUCCUCCCGGAUCAAAUAUCAACCUAUGAGAAUCUUGAAACAAAGCAAAGGAGUUAGAGUGAGUAUUUGGAGAACAAUUAAUUGUGUGAAGUUGCCAUCUUUGUUUUUCUCUUGUUUUGGUCAACUUCUCACAAUGCUUCCCUUUUGAUGGUUGUAGGUGCCUUCUAAUCCUCUUAUGUUUUCUAAAAUUUCCAAAAG
Molecule: long non-coding RNA, 431 nt
Filed under: Phaseolus vulgaris (common bean)
Lineage: Eukaryota; Viridiplantae; Streptophyta; Magnoliopsida; Fabales; Fabaceae
Description: long non-coding RNA (PVUL_LNC003104)
Source: RNAcentral